CCUACGGGAGGCUGCAGUGGGGGAUAUUGCACAAUGGGGGGAACCCUGAUGCAGCGACGCCGCGUGGGUGAAGGAGCGUUUCGGCGCGUAAAGCCCUAUCGGCAGGGACGAAGAUGCCGGUACCUGACCAAGAAGCACCGGCUAACUACGUGCCAGCAGCCGCGGUAAUACGUAGGGGGCAAGCGUUAUCCGGAUUUACUGGGUGUAAAGGGGGCGCAGACGGCAAUGCAAGCCAGGAGUGAAAGCCCGGGGCCCAACCCCGGGACUGCUGUUGAAACUGCAUGGCUGGAGUACAGGAGGGGCAGGCGGAAUUCCCAGUGUAGCGGUGAAAUGCGUAGAUAUUAGGAGGAACACCGGUGGCGAAGGCGGCUUACUGGACAGAAACUGACACUGAGGCUCGAAAGCGUGGGGAGCAAACAGGAUUAGAUACCCCUGUAGUC
This 440-nucleotide ribosomal RNA is filed under the name uncultured bacterium. Its description in RNAcentral is "partial 16S ribosomal RNA". It matches the Rfam family "Bacterial small subunit ribosomal RNA", at positions 338 to 795 of the family's 1533-position model. The record is from RNAcentral.